This 7464-nucleotide long non-coding RNA is filed under the name Durio zibethinus. RNAcentral's name for it is "long non-coding RNA (DZIB_LNC001283)". The record is from RNAcentral. Lineage: Eukaryota; Viridiplantae; Streptophyta; Magnoliopsida; Malvales; Malvaceae.
UAAAAGCAAACUUCCUUUUUCUUUCUCUAUAUAGGAUAAGCUCCGGUCAAAAACUUCAAGGGUUUCCAGAUCCUGUUGAUGGUGUCAUAGCUUGCUACCAUCUGUUAUUGCUAACCAACCACUGUUGAGGCUUAAAUUUCACCCAGAAGCGUGUUUCAAUUCCCUCUUUUGAAUGAUAUGAUUGGUUUCUAUAGAAACUCAUGGGAUUUGUGUAGAUCUAAAAUCAAAGUUACGAUUUUCUUUUUCCAGAAUCUACCUCAUCGUUGCUCUGAUGAUUGUGGCUUCAAGGUAUGGCUUUGUCCUUGUUCUUAACUCCCUUUUCACCGAUUUUGAAGAUUCAAAUCCUCUUGAAAAUGAGUUAAAACAAAACCUAAAAAAAAAAAUCUCUAUUCUUCACUUUUUGUUCAUUUCUUUUCAUUUCUGGAUUCCUUUAGUUUCCAACUUCAAUUUAUUUCUUCUUGAAUCCAUGUUGAUGUGCUUAACUGAUGAUUGAAAGUUAUUCAAUGAGAAAUUAAUAGCAGUGGUAGGACUUAGUCUCAACAAUGGAUGGCUAUGGUGUUUACUUCGGUUGUUGGCUCCAUAUUGCCAUUCUUUGCUCAUGCUUGUUUUUUGUGAUUUCUGUCCAUAGAAUUGUCUAUAUUUUGCUUGUUGUCAAUUUGGGUUUAGAUUGCUUACAAUCAAUUUGGGUUGAGAUUGCAACUCUUCUGAUUGGUAGGCUUUGUGAGAAAUUAUGCUAUUAGGAAUGUUUACUGGGUAGUAUGAGUUUGCAGAUGUUGACUAGGUAGAUUAGGUUGUUUGCUGGCUACUGGUGGUGGUGACUAUAGAGAUUUGGCUAACUAAUGUUGGCAGGGGUGAUGUUGGCAAUGGAAAGGUAGACUCACGGAGCCAUAAGGAGUUGAUGAAUUUAGAAUCAAUCACUAGUUAUUGGUUGUGAUGGUGUCCCAGGUUAAAAUUGGGUUAUGGGUAGAGCUGGUUUUGGUGGUUAUGUGUUCACUGGAGAUGGCAGUGUUGGCAAUGGUCGGUUGUGGUAGGAAGGUUUGGUUGCCAACCUUUGCUAACUGUUGCUACUUAUGGUAGAGAAAAUAAUAAAAAUGGUGAUUGAACUACAAGUAAUUGUUGGGUUUUUCUUUAUAUUUUUCACUCUAUUUGUUAUUGCCCCCUUGCUAUGUGUGAACAACAGUUUAUAUAACAUGAUAAAGAUAUGAUUUCAAUUCAAAAACUGAGCAUUUUAUCUUCUUCAAUCUGAAUUUUGAUUUCAAGUAGCACUAAAAUUUCAAAAAUCUUAUUAUUUCAUUUUAUCCCUUUUUUUAUCUUUUUAUUUAUUUCCAAAAUAAUGAUAAAAGCAAAAAUAAAUAAAUAAAAUAAUAAAACAAAUGGACUUGCAUUAAAUCCAAAAUAUAAUUUGAGCCUAAUACUCAAAUGAUAAAUCCAAAUCAAUUGUACUAGGUCCAAAACCCAAUUUAAAUUAACUCAAGAUCCGAGAAUAACUCGAGAUGAAAUAGGGUGUCUAUAGUUACCCUUCUUUGCACAGUUUCUGUGAAAUAAGAAUUGCACAAAGAAUCACAAUUUUGAAAUUGGCUUUACAAGAACUAUAAAAUUUUGAAAUUUCAAAGAUUUACAAUUUGAAAUAUUAAAAAUUUUCAUAAUAAAAAAUUCACAACAUGAGUUGAAACUCAAAAUUUCACAAUUUGAAUUUAAACAAUCACAAUUUGAAAAUUCAAAGGUUCGUAAUUCAAAGAUUCACCAAAGAUUUAUAUGACUUUUAGCUUCACAAGAAUUUCAAGUUUACAAAAAUUUUCAAAUUCGUAAGACUUUUAAAUUUACAAGAUUUUUCAAAUUCAUAAAAUUUCAGGUUUGCAAGAAUUUUUAGAUUCAUAAGAAUUAAAGGUUUGCAAGAUUUUGAAAUUUCACUAGAAUUAAGAUUUGCAAAAACUUGAAGAUUUGCAAGAAUUGAAGAUUUGUAAAUUUUUUUAUUCACAAGAAUUGAAGAUUCAUAAAAUUCAAAGAUUUGCAUUCAAGAGAUUCAUAUUUAAAAUCCAAAAAUUCACAUUAAAAAAUUUUAAAGGUUCACAUUCAAAAUUUCAAAGAAUGUUAUUUGAAAAACUUUAGCGAUUCACAUCAGUAUUUCAAAGAUUUUCAUUUGAAAAACUUCUAGAGAUUCACAACUAAAAUUUCAAAUAUUUUCAUAAAGAAAAACUUUAGUGUUUUAUAUCCAAUAUUUUAAAGGUUCCUAUUCAAAAAUUCCAGUGUUUCAUCCAAAAUUUCAAAGAUUUUGAUUCAAAAACUUUGGGGAUUCACAUUAAAAAAUUUUCUAGAUUCUCAUUUGAAAAUUCUUAAAGAUUAUGUCUAAAAGUCUUACAAAUCAUUCUCAACAUUGAAAAUACUUCUUCAAAAGGCAUCACAACUUUAAAAUUUGGAAUGUUUUUGUCGUAAAAAAUCUCAUCAUGAAAAAUUUUCCUCAUUCGAGGAUUUAGAAGUUCAAAAUGUUCCUACCAAAGUCAAAAUUUUGUAUGAUAAUGAUACAAAUGCUUUCUCAAUGAUGCAAAUGCAACAAUUCAAAUUCUCACAAUAAUGCAAAUGCCUUACUCUAAACUAUGAUUCAAACAUUCACUACAUGAUGCAAAUACAUGACCAAACAAUGAUGCAAAUGCAAUGAUCAAAACAAAGAUUCAAAUAUUCACUGAAUUAUGUACAUGUAUUAUUUGAACGACAAUGUAAUGUAUAUGUUACUAAAAUCAAUACCAUGAAAUUCUAAUUGAUUGUGGUAAUAAAGUUCUCAAGACUCCACCAUCUCACAUUUUUUUUAGCUUCCCAACAUUAAAAAUUUCAAAAUCAAUUCACAAAAUUUGUCAAACGAUCUAUGUUAUUUCUAACAUUUGGUCAUAACUCACAUAUUAUAUUGGUUGAUCCAUCACCAUAUUCACCAAAUAGGCACCGCAUAUGCCUUUUCAAAUCAUCUUUUCAUCAUUUUUCAUUUUCUUUUUACCCAAUAUCAUUCUUGAUUUCUUUUCAAAGAAAUGCAUAAAUCCUUUAUGGACAUUGUCAUUCAUUCAUUAUCAUUUUAAUUCAUAACAAAUAUAAUAUAAUCUUAUAUUUUCUCGAUUUAUUUUGGGAUACAAAAAUGAGAAAGGACAAGGUGAACUGAAAGAAUAGGUAAUCAAUACAAGAAUGAGUUUGGUACAAAAACAAAUAGGCAAAAGAAUAAAUUCAAAGUAUGUCACUAGGAUAAAUAUUUGAAUGGUAUAAUAAUGUCUAAACAAUGAAUAUUCAAAUAAUUUUUAACAUUAAUCUAGAAUUCUUUUUCAAAAACUCAUUUCAUUGAUUUUCAGAAUCAUUUUGAGCUUAUCAAAUUUUUCUCAGUUUCAAAGGAUCUUUAGAUGACAUUGAUCUUCCAUAUAUUUAUCUGCCCAUCCAAUUUUUAGCUUAAAUGUUUUUCUACCCAAAUUGCCCUUUUGGGUUUCAAUUUGAGUCUCGCUUUUCUUUUCUUCUUUUCCUUUUUUCAUUUUUUCACAUUUCACAUUUUUUAUUCUUUUAUUUUUUUCACUUCAUCCAUUAUUGAUAUCUCGCACAUAUCAAUCUCGAAAACAUAAGAAAAAAAUCAUGAUUCCAUUGCUCCAUUACAAGCAUGCCUUUUUAGCUCAAUAAAUGAUCAUGCAAUUUGAGCAUUCACAUUUAAUCAAAGUAGACUUUUAUAGGUCGUAAUAUAGGCUAUGGUGAAGAGACAUGAAAAAAUGGAUAAAAGAGGCUCAAAAUAUAUGUUUAAAGGGUUCAAACUAAAGGAUCAUUUUUCAUCAUGUAAUGUAACUUGGUACUUUGUCCCAUUCCACAUCAUUUCACUACUUUUUUUCUUAUUCAUCUUAUUCCUCAAGAAUUCUCAUUCUUUUACCCUAGGUCAUUUGUGGUAUUUGCUUUUCUUUUCUUUUUGCUUUUUUUGUAGAAGCGAUUCUUUUUUUACUCCCCAUCUUUGAGAACUUUUGUAAUUUUUUGCUUUUUUAUUUGUAGGUUUUUUUCCAAAAUUUGCCCCUCAUAUAAAGGGUGAUCCUUGGUUAGGUUUUUUAGAAAAAGAAAUCAUAAUAGGCACAGAAGGGGUAGCAUUCGAUGAUUUCAUUUUUAGGAAUGGUAAAAGAAAUAUAGUAAUUUUUCACAUCAAAUAUGAAUCUUUUCUUUGAAAGACUAUGUUUUGAAUAAAGACAGACUGACAUACGCUUCAAGAAAUAUCCAUUUCAUUUUUUCAUGAAUGAUAUAUGUUCACAGAUUGUUUCUAUAUAUGUUCACAGAUUCUUUUUUUACUCAAAUAAUCUCUACAGAUUAAAUUUAUCAAUAUGAAUAAGUUUCCAAAAUUAAGUCCUAAAAUUAUUGUUUAUCAUUGUCUAAACAUUCAUCAUUUGGAAUUUGAAAAUGGGAAUAAAAGGAUAUGAAAAAUAAUAAAGUAUAGAAUAGUGGUUUGGAUGAAAGAGAAAAUUUAAUGAAAUGCAUCAACUUGCCUUUUUAUUAAAAUGAUAAAAAAUAAAAUCUUAUUACAUAAAAGAAAUCAUAGCAUUACUCUAAAAGAAAUAUUAAAAUGACAAGCAACUUUCAACCAGCCUUAACAUCCUUAUCCUUCUUAAAAUUAUACCCCUGUGUGAUCGGACAAAAAGGUUUUUAUUGACAUCUAGUUCCUCUAAUUCAUUAAAGUUUACCAAGCCUUUUCAUAUCAAACUUUGCACCAUGUGCUUAAAAGUAUGGUAAAUUUCUAUAGAAUGACCAAUGUUUCCAUUAUGUUAAUUGCAUGUGGCAUUAGUAUCAUACCAUUUGAGAUGGAACGGCUUCAAUGGUUCUAGAAUAACUAGAGAUACCAAGUCAUUUUUAAUCAAUUCUAAGAAUAGCUUAGUGUAGGUUAUGAAGAUAGCAUUAAUGUAAACUCUCUCGUGGUUGUUCCUAGAUAUUCUCAAACCACUUACUUAGUUAUAAGGCCUUGAAACUGGUGUAGUAAUAGGACUAGACCCAUAUGUAGGUGUUUGAAAGAUUGGUCAAUAAGCUGGUUGUGGAACAAGAUGGUAAGAGAGAGGCAUGACAUGGUUAAUGACUAGAUAAUAAGCAGGAUAUAUUGGCAAUGGGUAUGGGGCAUAACUUUUGAACUACUAUCCUUCAAAACCCACAACUUAAGUUUCGUUUUCUUUCCAUUUGGACAUACCAUCUUCUUUUGUACUAGUGGUUUCUUCCUCUUCAAACUUGUCACUCUUAAUAGCAUUCUCUAUCAUUUGCCUAGAAUUCACUAUAUCGAUAAAAUUUUUAGUGGUAUUCUUGAUCAUUUUCUCAUAAUUUGAAGCCUUCAAAGUACUCACAAAUAAAACUAUUGUUUCUUUUUCAGUGAAAGGUGAACUUAAGCAACAACAUCUUUCUACCAUUAUGAAUACUCCUUGAAGCUUUUAGAAGGUUUCUUUUUCAUGCUUUGUAAAGAUAAAUAAUUUAGAGCUAAGUCUAUGAUAUGUUUGUAUUAGGUAAUGAAUGCCCUUGCCAACCUACUCCAUAAGUGUAUACAAGUUCUCUCUAACUAGAUGUACCAUUUUACAAUUGAAUCAAUAAGGCUAUCUUAGAAUACAUGCAUCAACAGCUUCUUAUUUUAAGUAUAGACAACCAUUUUACGAUAGUACAUGGUCACAUAAGUUACUAAGCAUUUUAUCCCAUCAUAUUUUUUAAACUUAAGGACUUUAAAUUUUAGUGGGAUGACCACAUCCUAGACCAAACGGAGUUCAACUACAUCCAUGAAGCCAAAAUAAUCCAUUUCUUCAAUAGCUCACACUAUUUCUUCCAAAAAGUUUAUUUUUUAUUUUUAGCUUGAAUAAUCCAUCACCUUAGAUGUUUUUAUCUUUAAUCUCUCAUUCUCUUUAAAAUCAUCAAAAUUAGGAACUUCAAUUGGAUCAUAUACCUUUUUCUAAAGGUAGGGUUAGUGUAGCUAUGAAAUGGCACUUUAGGAUAUAUGUAAGCAUAUACCCCAAAAAAUGACAUUUGUGAGGCUUGUGUGUUUUGAGAAGAUUUGCCUUGAUUUCUGCCAAACUCAUAAAGGUGCAAAAAAUCCAUGAUAUCUUGUAUCUCUUUUGAAUUUAGGGUCUUUUUUAUUGACUUACCUUUAUCUAACUUCUUUAGCAUCUCUAUCAUCUUUGCCAACUUUCCUUUUAACUCUUUUUUAGUUCUCUCAAUCUUAUCCAUAUGGCUAUUUUGCUCUUGUUCCAUUUGCCUUGUUUAUAAUCUAGUAUGACGAGUAGGUUAAAUAAGAGUCUUCGAUGGUUGAGCUGUCCUUAAACAUUUGAUUAUCAUAGAUUAAGAUGCUUAUUUUAUUAAAUGUUUACGUAAAAAAAAUUAAGAUGAACCUAGCUUGUUUAAGAAUCCUAAAUACAUGAAUGAAUGAAUGCAUUGAAUGCUUGACAUAAUAUAUUAUGAUAUGCAAAUACAUAAAUGUAUGCACAAUGAUGUAUUAAUAGGUAAAUGAACGCAUGUACUGGUGUUUGUCAUAUUAUGAUGCAUGGAUGAAUGCAUAUGUUAGUGAUGCUAGAUUAAAAUACAACAUACAACAUAUAACAACUUAACAAUAAAUAAAAGAUCAAAUAAAAAGAAAGCUCAAAAAGUUCACUCAUAUGUCCUAACUAGGUUUACAUUCUAAUAAUGCUUAGACAUGGCUUCAGCUUAAGGUUGGCUUCUUAUACUUUACUACAUGUGGUUUGGGUUUAUAAUCUAUUAGUCCCUAAAUCGUUCUUCACAUCAUUAUCCAUCAUAAACUAGUAAAGGACCCCGAUUCUUACCCAUUAUAGGCUACAAGCGAAAAGGAUUUAAUUUGAGUGGGAGUAUUUCGCUAGCCACUGUGAAAGCAUUAAAAUCUUAUAAAAACAUAGGUACUUUACUCCCUCUUAGAGAGAUGGAGCUUAGGUAUAGAGCUCAUGUUAUGCACAUGUAUAUGAAUGACAUAAUAAGCAAAAUAAAUAAGUAAAAUAAGUGAAUAAAAAAUAUUUAAAAAAUUUAAUUUUAUUAGGCUUUUGGAUAACAUAAAUUUGUUUGUCGGCCUGACUCUUGACUAUCCCCAAUGGAGUUGUGAAAUUAUCAUAACGUAUAGAUCUGUAAACCUAUAGCUAGACAUGACAUAAAGAGUCACCACUAAUCUUUUUUCUUUAAGCGUGGUUGGUCACCUAACUGAAUCUGUUCCAUUUUAAAAAGGAGUCCCAAGUUUAACUCAGGUAUCUUUAAAAGGUAGAUUUUAGUCUUUGAAAAUCGAGCUAAGUUCAGAAGUAUGGUUAAGUACGAGUAAGGUUAUAACACCCAUCAAAUUAUGGUACCAACAGUUUCAUGUUAUCCAUUGAGCCUUUAAAAAAAUCUUAUAGAUAAUUAAUUAUUAGGAAUUGUUUUUAAUUGACUCUAAUACUUUGACAGAAAAUUAAAAAAAUUCGUAUACAAGAAAACUAUUGUUUCUCUUAUAGAGAGUUUGUUGUCAAA